This 723-nucleotide long non-coding RNA is filed under the name Carica papaya (papaya). RNAcentral's name for it is "long non-coding RNA (CPAP_LNC011222)". Lineage: Eukaryota; Viridiplantae; Streptophyta; Magnoliopsida; Brassicales; Caricaceae. The record is from RNAcentral.
AUUUGCUGUAAGAGAAAUGCGAACUCUAGAUUCUUAAUUGCUUCUGCUUAUGUUUCAUUAAUUUAAUAUUUUCAUUCAAUAAAAUUCUACGCUUUUACAAUUGGUAUCAGAGUCGUGUUCCUCAGAACCAUUCUUUGCAUAAAAUGUUACAAUCAUUCGCUACAACUCAACUCUCAACCCUUCAUUGUGAAAUGCAGGUACAAGAAUUUGAGGAGAUGAAGUUCCCCACUAAACAGAGCAGCUUAGGAGGCGUCACUUUGGGAGGAUGCCGAUCGACACUUCAAGAUGUUGGAGAGACUCAUCUCUUCCCAAUAGGCCAGGAAAUUAAGGAGGGAGCUGUUUGAUCCUCCACUACUGUCACAGUAUGAACCACCCCUAUAAUGAGAGAAUCUAAUGCCACUUCGGUACAACCCUACUCAUCCGCUGUAUCAUCCGACACCACUACAGUACAAUCCGGUGCCCCCACCAUACAACCAGGUACCGCUACAAGGUCACCCUGUCCCUCACCAGCAUAAUCCAGUUCCUCUUCAAUAGGACCCAACUCCACCCAUAAUGGUUCCAAACUACAUUGAGAGGUACAAAAGACUUAACCCGUCUACUUUUAUAUGGGCAUCCACUUUUAAAAAAGCUAAGUACUGGUUAGUAGAGACAGGGAAGGUCUUCACAACUCUUGUGACAAAAAGUCAUUCUUGCCACUUACAUGUUCGUGGAUGAGGCAGCACG